RNAcentral lists this ribosomal RNA (479 nucleotides) under uncultured bacterium. RNAcentral describes it as "SSU rRNA". It matches the Rfam family "Bacterial small subunit ribosomal RNA", at positions 26 to 518 of the family's 1533-position model. The record is from RNAcentral.
AGGACGAACGCUGGCGGCGUGCUUAACACAUGCAAGUCGAGCGGUAAGGCUCCUUCGGGGGUACACGAGCGGCGAACGGGUGAGUAACACGUGAGCAAUCUACCCUCAACUUUGGGAUAAGCCUCGGAAACGGGGUCUAAUACCGGAUAAUAUCGCGCUCCUCAUGGGGUGUGGUUGAAAGUUCUGGCGGUUGGGGAUGGGCUCGCGGCCUAUCAGCUUGUUGGUGGGGUAAUGGCCUACCAAGGCGUCGACGGGUAGCCGGCCUGAGAGGGCGACCGGCCACACUGGGGACUGAGACACGGCCCAGACUCCUACGGGAGGCAGCAGUGGGGAAUAUUGCGCAAUGGACGAAAGUCUGACGCAGCAACGCCGCGUGAGGGAUGACGGCCUUCGGGUUGUAAACCUCUUUCAGCAGGGACGAAGCGAGAGUGACGGUACCUGCAGAAGAAGGACCGGCCAACUACGUGCCAGCACGCCGC